AGCAGUCGCCGCGGGAAUACGAAGGGGGCUAGCGUUGUUCGGAUUUACUGGGCGUAAAGCGCACGUAGGCGGACUUUUAAGUCAGGGGUGAAAUCCCGGGGCUCAACCCCGGAACUGCCUUUGAUACUGGAAGUCUUGAGUAUGGUAGAGGUGAGUGGAAUUCCGAGUGUAGAGGUGAAAUUCGUAGAUAUUCGGAGGAACACCAGUGGCGAAGGCGGCUCACUGGACCAUUACUGACGCUGAGGUGCGAAAGCGUGGGGAGCAAACAGGAUUAGAUACCCCGGUAGUCCCUGUCUCUUAUAC
RNAcentral lists this ribosomal RNA (303 nucleotides) under uncultured bacterium. RNAcentral's name for it is "partial 16S ribosomal RNA". It matches the Rfam family "Bacterial small subunit ribosomal RNA", at positions 507 to 807 of the family's 1533-position model. The record is from RNAcentral.